RNAcentral lists this long non-coding RNA (3469 nucleotides) under Ananas comosus (pineapple). RNAcentral's name for it is "long non-coding RNA (ACOM_LNC019432)". The record is from RNAcentral. Lineage: Eukaryota; Viridiplantae; Streptophyta; Magnoliopsida; Poales; Bromeliaceae.
AGGAUUUACAUAAUUUAAAUUUUAAAUAAUAUAAAAUAUUGAAGUUUAAAAUUUAAAUUUAAAUUUAAAAAUUAAAAAUUUUAAACUUAAAUUUAAAAUUUUAAAUGAUAACAACGGAAAUAUAGAAAUAUAUUUUUAUAUACUUUUAUCUAAAUUUUAGUAAAUAAUAAUGAACAGUCUAUUUAAAAUAUUUUAAAAAUUACAUAAAUUUAUCGCCGCGAAGCGUGGGCCUGCACAAGUGUAAAAAAUAGAAUGGUUCCGUAUAAGAGAGGUUAAUACUACAGACGUGGAAUAGGAUUUUGAAAGAAGAAAAGGGGGAGAGAGGAAGAAAGGAAUAGGUGGUAAAUUUGUUUUCAAAACAUUUUUUAAAAUUUUUGCAAAUGGAAAAUUCCUUUCUUUCACUCACGCGUUUUUACUCUCACCAUCUCUCCACUCGAUCUCUCACGCUUUUUUCCUCCCCCCAUCUACUCUCUCUCUCUCUCUCUCUCUCUCUCUCUCUCGCAGGGAGACGACGAGGACUAGGAGGUGAGGUCGCAGACCGCGAGCUCUCCCGCAGGGAAGACAACUAGGACUAGGUGAGGCGGUGGUCCGAAUUAAGUAGCUUAAGCAAUUUAGAAUUUUAAUUCAAUGUUAUCUUUUUGAUUUAAAACUGAUGUCAUAAUUUACCAUCAUAAUCCUCUAAAGUAUUCUUUUCGGCAGAAAAUGUAUGGAGACCUAAUUCUGACCUUCAUGCUAUUCUAAAUAUUUUUAUUUUCCACCUUUUCAGAUUUUAAACGAGGUAUAAAUAUGAUGAAAUUACGUUGUAUUAUUCAUAACCUGCUAAUUAAGUUAUAUUAGACAACUUUAAGCAUUUUAGAAUUUUAAUUCUGAACUGGUGUUAUUUUUUUAUGUCACGCCCCGGGGCCGAUUUUAAAAGCUUUUUAAAAACAGAGUUGCGGAAAACGUGCCAUUGUUUUUUUUUUUUUUUUUUUAUAUGCGAUAAAUAAAAUAAUAGUAAAAGAGUAUUUAGGAGUAUCAGAGCAUACAACAACUAGGUUCUAGCAUAGUGAGGUAAAUAANGUUACAUUUGGUAUCAGAGCUGGUUCACCAGCUGGACAUGUGUGGCGAGUCUCGGCUGAGCCAGAGUCUGGAUGACGGGAUAGCGAGACGAGUCUCACAUCGCUGGUGGUGAUCUUGGGCUGUGUGUGUGAUUGGACUGACGAGGACGUCAGGGCCUUAACGGGGGGAGUCUGUGACACCCCAAUAGUCCCACAUCGGAUGGGAAUGGGGUUGUCAUUCAGUUUAUAAGAGACUUAGACACUAGUAAUAAUUACUGGACUUAAGCAUUUUGGACCGGUUGUUGGGCCCAACGAGUUAUUGUUGCUAGUGGGUUGGGUCGUUACAACUCACCAUCCCAACACAAGUGUAACAGUAAAUUAGACUAUCUGGAGUACUCACCAUAAGAACACUGCAACUGUAUAAAAGUACAACGGCCCCUAAGGCUAAAUUAGGUCGUUUAACAUAUGACAGGUUCCAAGCACUGGUUUCUUCCUAUGUUUUAUCUAAGUCCAACAUGUAUGAUUAAUAACAGCUACUAACAUGCUCCCAAUUCAGUUAAUAUGUCUAAAACAUACCUACUCCUGAAUUUGAGCUAAACAAUAACAACUUGUAAUAUUAACGAUAUAUGUCGACCAACAAUACUAUAGGAGUAGGAUUCCGAUAAUAAACCCACCUCAAAAAGCUUGUCCAACCACGGCGAGAAGUCGAGAGGAGAGAAAAUCACGCGCUCACCCGGCCUCCAACGACGCAAUCGCGACGCACGCACACUCAAACGGCUCUCCGAAUCGACGUCGAAAAUUCCUGAACUCGAGCCCCGGCUUCUACCAAGCUACGAUUAAAAUUAGAGAAAAAGGGAAGUACGAGAUAAUUAAUCUCUCAGGUGGAUACUAUAUAGAGGGGGGGGUAGGUAGGUGGAUAACUACUAAUCAAAAUUACCUCCCUACCCCUCACUAACUCAAGCUAAGGGUAUUACAAGGCUACUAUAUUUUCUAUGGUACCGGAACUCUGGUACUAUAGUGUUGUUUUCAAUCUUAGGGCGUUCAAAUCAACGAUCCACGCCGUUAAAUAUGAUCUAGGGUAUAUGAAAUUCUUAGGAAUAAAAUUUUAGUUUUUUUCGAUAUCGUUUACUUAGUAAAUAAAUUAUGUCAAAAUAGACGGUGGAAAUUGAAUAUUUUUUAAAAUUUGAGUAUAGGACUUUUAAAUUCAAGAUCAAGAAUGUUAACCUUAAUUUAUAUAGUUUAAAGUAUUUCAAUCAAAAUUUGAAGCAAUUUAGAUUCUUCUACACCAUUAAACUCCAAACUCGUCAUAAUAGCCAUUGAAAAUUGAGAAUUUUGAAAUAGUUUGAUCAUAAAGUAAACUAUGUCGAAAAAAUAUAAAAUUUUAUUUCUAAAAAAACUUUAAAUACCCUAGAUCAGUUUUAACGGUGUGGAUCGUUGAUUUGAACGCCCGAAGAUCAAAAACAACACUAUAGUACCGGAGUUCCGGUACUAUAGAUAGUAUAGUAGCCUAGCUCUAUAUAUAUAUAUAUAUAUAUAUAUAUAUAAUCUCAAAGAGGAGAGAAGCGCUCCACUGCUGAGCCCCGCCUUUUUUUGCACGUGCAGGUUUUUUUUUUUUUAUCCGGCCUCGCUCCAGCGCCAGCUCGCGCCUGCCGAGCCGGCCCGCCCAGCCAGCUUCGUGCCUACCCCCGCGGCCGAGCGCGCCUCGCCCCCAGCUCGGCCGCUAAGCAUCGAGCCGGAGCGCGUCCACGCUGCGCCCGCGCUCACCCGCCUCGCUCCCGCGCCGACGUGCGACGCAGGAAAUUCAGGUUCCCAACUUCAUAGUUAUAAAUGUUAUAUGAUGACAACUUAGUGCCUUCAGUUUGUUUUGCAAUAUAUCAUGUUCUUUUGUUGAUGCUCGACCAUUUGCUUAUCUAAGGGGCCAAUGCCUAGUCUUACCUUACUCGCAUUGAAAUUUUGAUGGUAAAAAUUUAAAUCAAGAGGCACACUUUUAAGAUGAAAUUGUGAAAUUUUAAGUCAAGAUUAGGCUUCAUGGAUUGGAUGAAAACUUACAAAGCUGAUAUUAGAAUAAGGAUUAUACCUCAGAUUUACAUUAGAUGAGAUUAGGAUGAAGAGUAAUGCCUAGGAUUUACAUAAUUAAAUUUUAAAUAAUAUAGAAAUAUUGAAGUUUAAAUUUAAUUUAAAUUUAAAAAUUAAAAAAUUUAAAACUUAAAUUUAAAAUUUUUAAAUGAUAACAACGGAAAUAUAGAAAUAUAUUUUUAUAUACUUUUAUCUAAAUUUGAGUAAAUAAUAAUGAACAGUCUAUUUAAAAUAUUUUAAAAAUACAUAAAUUUAUUCGCCGGCGAAGCGUGGGCCUGCCAAGUGUAAAAAAUAGAAUGGUUCCGUAUAAGAGAGGUUAAUACUACAGACGUGGAAUAGGAUUUUGAAAGAAGAAA